UAGGGAAUCUUCCACAAUGGACGAAAGUCUGAUGGAGCAACGCCGCGUGAGCGAUGAAGGCCUUCGGGUCGUAAAGCUCUGUUGUUAGGGAAGAACAAGUACCGGAGUAACUGCCGGUACCUUGACGGUACCUAACCAGAAAGCCACGGCUAACUACGUGCCAGCAGCCGCGGUAAUACGUAGGUGGCAAGCGUUGUCCGGAAUUAUUGGGCGUAAAGCGCGCGCAGGCGGUCCUUUAAGUCUGAUGUGAAAGCCCACGGCUCAACCGUGGAGGGUCAUUGGAAACUGGGGGACUUGAGUACAGAAGAGGAAAGCGGAAUUCCACGUGUAGCGGUGAAAUGCGUAGAGAUGUGGAGGAACACCAGUGGCGAAGGCGGCUUUCUGGUCUGUAACUGACGCUGAGGCGCGAAAGCGUGGGGAGCAAACA
RNAcentral lists this ribosomal RNA (427 nucleotides) under uncultured Bacillus sp. RNAcentral describes it as "bacterial SSU rRNA". It matches the Rfam family "Bacterial small subunit ribosomal RNA", at positions 355 to 774 of the family's 1533-position model. Lineage: Bacteria; Bacillati; Bacillota; Bacilli; Caryophanales; Bacillaceae. The record is from RNAcentral.